RNAcentral lists this ribosomal RNA (253 nucleotides) under uncultured bacterium. RNAcentral describes it as "partial 16S ribosomal RNA". It matches the Rfam family "Bacterial small subunit ribosomal RNA", at positions 524 to 776 of the family's 1533-position model. The record is from RNAcentral.
UACGUAGGGACCAAGCGUUGUUCGGAUUUACUGGGCGUAAAGGGCGCGUAGGCGGCAAUUCAAGUCAGCUGUGAAAUCUCCGGGCUUAACUCGGAACGGUCAGCUGAUACUGCUUUGCUAGAGUGCAGAAGGGGCAAUCGGAAUUCUUGGUGUAGCGGUGAAAUGCGUAGAUAUCAAGAGGAACACCUGAGGUGAAGACGGGUUGCUGGGCUGACACUGACGCUGAGACGCGAAAGCUAGGGUAGCAAACGGG